This 358-nucleotide unclassified non-coding RNA is filed under the name soil metagenome. RNAcentral describes it as "partial contains 5.8S ribosomal RNA, internal transcribed spacer 2, and large subunit ribosomal RNA". The stretch from base 1 to 120 matches the Rfam family "5.8S ribosomal RNA", at positions 35 to 154 of the family's 154-position model. The record is from RNAcentral.
GAUGAAGAACGUAGCGAAAUGCGAUAAGUAAUGUGAAUUGCAGAAUUCAGUGAAUCAUCGAAUCUUUGAACGCACAUUGCGCCCGUCAGUAUUCUGGCGGGCAUGCCUGUUCGAGCGUCAUUACGCCCCUCAAGUCCCCUGUGGACUUGGUGUUGGGGAUCGGCGAGGCUGGUUUUCCAGCACAGCUGUCCCUUAAAUUAAUUGGCGGUCUCGCCGUGGCCCUCCUCUGCGCAGUAGUAAAACACUCGCAACAGGAGCCCGGCGCGGUCCACUGCCGUAAAACCCCCCAACUUUUUAUAGUUGACCUCGAAUCAGGUAGGACUACCCGCUGAACUUAAGCAUAUCAAUAAGCGGAGGA